UUUGUGUGUGAACAAAGUCUCACGUGAUGAGUAGAAAAGAAAAAAUUCUAUUCAUAAGAAGCUGAAUAGUCUUAAUAGUAUCUUUAUUCAAAACGAACAAUAUCACAUAAUAGUAUUUUGAGACUCUUAGAUUCGCGCUUUCAAUAUUUAACAUUUGAUUUGGUCAGAAAGUUGGUUCUCACAACUUCUAAAAUAGACGUUAAGUAAGCCAUGACUCUAUCAUCUUCCUUACCAAUAAAUACCUUGCACUUCACCACUUUACUACUACAUUAAAAUGAGGCUUUGUAAAUUCACAGCUCUUUCUUCUCUACUAUUUUCUCUCCUAUUGCUUUCUGCCUCGGCAGAACAAUGUGGUUCGCAGGCCGGAGGUGCGCGUUGUCCCUCGGGUCUCUGCUGCAGCAAAUUUGGUUGGUGUGGUAACACCAAUGACUAUUGUGGCCCUGGCAAUUGCCAGAGCCAGUGCCCUGGUGGUCCCACACCUACACCGCCCACCCCACCCGGUGGUGGGGACCUCGGCAGUAUCAUUUCAAAUUCCAUGUUUGAUCAGAUGCUUAAGCAUCGCAACGAUAAUGCCUGCGAAGGACAUGGAUUCUACAGUUACAAUGCCUUUAUCAAUGCUGCUAGGUCUUUUCCUGGCUUUGGUACCAGUGGCGAUACUACUGCCCGUAAAAGAGAAAUCGCGGCUUUCUUUGCUCAAACCUCCCAUGAAACGACCGGUAUGUCUAGUUAUGUUGAACUGUAUGACUGUCUAAUUCAAAAGUUUAAUCUGUUAGAGAGCAUACUUUUGUUUUAUCAUACUGGUCUAUUCUAGUUUCAUGAGACAAACACAUAGAGAUUCUUUUAUAAUGACUGGCGCCGAGACUUGAAUUCAGGAUCUCUAUCUACUCAUAUUGGAGUAUCCAAUUUUGAGAUAUCACAAUGCAAUCUUAAAUUUCGAUGUUUUUUAUAAGCUGACGCUUUCAAUAAUUUGACCAUGUAACCCUUGACAGG
This 990-nucleotide long non-coding RNA is filed under the name Nicotiana benthamiana. Its description in RNAcentral is "long non-coding RNA (NBEN_LNC027769)". The record is from RNAcentral. Lineage: Eukaryota; Viridiplantae; Streptophyta; Magnoliopsida; Solanales; Solanaceae.